AACGUUUAGAAGUCGAAGAAGGCUAAAAUCAAGUGCAGUAUCUGUUCUUAUCAGUUUAAUAUCUGAUACGCCCCCUAUCUGGGGGCCAUAUAUUAAAUGGAUUUUUAGAACAGGGCGAUGGAAGAAGAGCUUGCUCUGUCCACUCCACGCAUUGACCUGGUAUUGCAGUAUCUCCAGGACCGGUGCACAAAAA
Molecule: small nuclear RNA, 193 nt
Filed under: Leptobrachium leishanense (Leishan spiny toad)
Lineage: Eukaryota; Metazoa; Chordata; Amphibia; Anura; Megophryidae
Description: U2 spliceosomal RNA (ENSLLEG00000004968.1)
Rfam family: U2 spliceosomal RNA
About the family: U2 is a small nuclear RNA (snRNA) component of the spliceosome (involved in pre-mRNA splicing).
Source: Rfam by way of RNAcentral